RNAcentral lists this ribosomal RNA (1351 nucleotides) under uncultured bacterium. Its description in RNAcentral is "bacterial SSU rRNA". It matches the Rfam family "Bacterial small subunit ribosomal RNA", at positions 28 to 1380 of the family's 1533-position model. The record is from RNAcentral.
AUUGAACGCUGGCGGCAUGCCUUACACAUGCAAGUCGAACGGCAGCACGGAGCUUGCUCUGGUGGCGAGUGGCGAACGGGUGAGUAAUAUAUCGGAACGUACCCUAGAGUGGGGGAUAACGUAGCGAAAGUUACGCUAAUACCGCAUACGAUCUAAGGAUGAAAGUGGGGGAUCGCAAGACCUCAUGCUCGUGGAGCGGCCGAUAUCUGAUUAGCUAGUUGGUAGGGUAAAAGCCUACCAAGGCAUCGAUCAGUAGCUGGUCUGAGAGGACGACCAGCCACACUGGAACUGAGACACGGUCCAGACUCCUACGGGAGGCAGCAGUGGGGAAUUUUGGACAAUGGGCGAAAGCCUGAUCCAGCAAUGCCGCGUGAGUGAAGAAGGCCUUCGGGUUGUAAAGCUCUUUUGUCAGGGAAGAAACGGUGAAAGCUAAUAUCUUUUGCUAAUGACGGUACCUGAAGAAUAAGCACCGGCUAACUACGUGCCAGCAGCCGCGGUAAUACGUAGGGUGCAAGCGUUAAUCGGAAUUACUGGGCGUAAAGCGUGCGCAGGCGGUUUUGUAAGUCUGAUGUGAAAUCCCCGGGCUCAACCUGGGAAUUGCAUUGGAGACUGCAAGGCUAGAAUCUGGCAGAGGGGGGUAGAAUUCCACGUGUAGCAGUGAAAUGCGUAGAUAUGUGGAGGAACACCGAUGGCGAAGGCAGCCCCCUGGGUCAAGAUUGACGCUCAUGCACGAAAGCGUGGGGAGCAAACAGGAUUAGAUACCCUGGUAGUCCACGCCCUAAACGAUGUCUACUAGUUGUCGGGUCUUAAUUGACUUGGUAACGCAGCUAACGCGUGAAGUAGACCGCCUGGGGAGUACGGUCGCAAGAUUAAAACUCAAAGGAAUUGACGGGGACCCGCACAAGCGGUGGAUGAUGUGGAUUAAUUCGAUGCAACGCGAAAAACCUUACCUACCCUUGACAUGGCUGGAAUCCUUGAGAGAUCAGGGAGUGCUCGAAAGAGAACCAGUACACAGGUGCUGCAUGGCUGUCGUCAGCUCGUGUCGUGAGAUGUUGGGUUAAGUCCCGCAACGAGCGCAACCCUUGUCAUUAGUUGCUACGAAAGGGCACUCUAAUGAGACUGCCGGUGACAAACCGGAGGAAGGUGGGGAUGACGUCAAGUCCUCAUGGCCCUUAUGGGUAGGGCUUCACACGUCAUACAAUGGUACAUACAGAGCGCCGCCAACCCGCGAGGGGGAGCUAAUCGCAGAAAGUGUAUCGUAGUCCGGAUUGUAGUCUGCAACUCGACUGCAUGAAGUUGGAAUCGCUAGUAAUCGCGGAUCAGCACGUCGCGGUGAAUACGUUCCCGGGUC